GUGUCAGCCGCCGCGGUAAUACGGAGGAUCCAAGCGUUAUCCGGAAUCAUUGGGUUUAAAGGGUCCGUAGGCGGUCAGAUAAGUCAGUGGUGAAAGCCCAUCGCUCAACGGUGGAACGGCCAUUGAUACUGUCUGACUUGAAUUAUUAGGAAGUAACUAGAAUAUGUAGUGUAGCGGUGAAAUGCUUAGAGAUUACAUGGAAUACCAAUUGCGAAGGCAGGUUACUACUAAUUGAUUGACGCUGAUGGACGAAAGCGUGGGUAGCGAACAGGAUUAGAUACCCUGGUAGUCCACGCCGUAAACGAUGGAUACUAGCUGUUGGAAGCAAUUUCAGUGGCUAAGCGAAAGUGAUAAGUAUCCCACCUGGGGAGUACGUUCGCAAGAAUGAA
Molecule: ribosomal RNA, 389 nt
Filed under: uncultured bacterium
Lineage: Bacteria
Description: bacterial SSU rRNA
Rfam family: Bacterial small subunit ribosomal RNA
Source: RNAcentral